This 529-nucleotide small RNA is filed under the name Pongo abelii (Sumatran orangutan). RNAcentral describes it as "retained intron". The record is from RNAcentral. Lineage: Eukaryota; Metazoa; Chordata; Mammalia; Primates; Hominidae.
UUCGGAGGCAAGUUUGGUGUCCAGAUGGACAGAGUUGAUCAGUCUGCCGUAGGCUUUGAAUACCAGGGGAAGACUGAGAAGCACGCCUCCCAGAAAGGUAAGAUGAAAGGCGCACAAAGAGCCGCGCUCCAGGGGCCCUGAUGGGGAGAGUCACAGCCACCUGAAGCCGUUUCCCGAGCGGUGGCUGUUGCCACAAGGAGGACUCUGCCCUCCUCUUCAUGUUUCUGGAUCAUCUGGAUGCCACAUGAUGGAUGCAUUCCCCAUUACACAGCCCCCUCGGAGCCCUGGCAUCUGCUGUCAUUGUGGGGCUUCUCCCCCUUGUAGCAGAAGCCACCUUCCCUUCAUCUGGGCAGCACUCCUCCUGGAAAAGAGAGCUCGCAGAUUGAUCGGCAGAAAGCCUUCCCCCUCUGAGGCUAGAAACCAGAGUUGUUAAAUUCUUGUUUUCAUUAUACACGUACGGUCUUAACUGCUGGUGAUUAAUCUUGAUUACAUCAUGCAGUCUCUUUUUUGAAAGACCGAAGCAUAUUGC